RNAcentral lists this ribosomal RNA (753 nucleotides) under Alternaria sp. G29B. Its description in RNAcentral is "eukaryotic LSU rRNA". The stretch from base 530 to 753 matches the Rfam family "Eukaryotic large subunit ribosomal RNA", at positions 1 to 224 of the family's 3401-position model. Lineage: Eukaryota; Fungi; Ascomycota; Dothideomycetes; Pleosporales; Pleosporaceae. The record is from RNAcentral.
AGUCGUAACAAGGUCUCCGUAGGUGAACCUGCGGAGGGAUCAUUACACAAAUAUGAAGGCGGGCUGGAACCUCUCGGGGUUACAGCCUUGCUGAAUUAUUCACCCUUGUCUUUUGCGUACUUCUUGUUUCCUUGGUGGGUUCGCCCACCACUAGGACAAACAUAAACCUUUUGUAAUUGCAAUCAGCGUCAGUAACAAAUUAAUAAUUACAACUUUCAACAACGGAUCUCUUGGUUCUGGCAUCGAUGAAGAACGCAGCGAAAUGCGAUAAGUAGUGUGAAUUGCAGAAUUCAGUGAAUCAUCGAAUCUUUGAACGCACAUUGCGCCCUUUGGUAUUCCAAAGGGCAUGCCUGUUCGAGCGUCAUUUGUACCCUCAAGCUUUGCUUGGUGUUGGGCGUCUUGUCUCUAGCUUUGCUGGAGACUCGCCUUAAAGUAAUUGGCAGCCGGCCUACUGGUUUCGGAGCGCAGCACAAGUCGCACUCUCUAUCAGCAAAGGUCUAGCAUCCAUUAAGCCUUUUUUUUCAACUUUUGACCUCGGAUCAGGUAGGGAUACCCGCUGAACUUAAGCAUAUCAAUAAGCGGAGGAAAAGAAACCAACAGGGAUUGCCCUAGUAACGGCGAGUGAAGCGGCAACAGCUCAAAUUUGAAAUCUGGCUCUUUUAGAGUCCGAGUUGUAAUUUGCAGAGGGCGCUUUGGCUUUGGCAGCGGUCCAAGUUCCUUGGAACAGGACGUCACAGAGGGUGAGAAUCCCGU